AGCGCAGGCGGUUGGAAAAGUCUGAUGUGAAAGCCCACGGCUUAACCGUGGAAGGUCAUUGGAAACUGUCCAACUUGAAUGCAGAAGAGGUAAGUGGAAUUCCAUGUGUAGCGGUGAAAUGCGUAGAUAUAUGGAGGAACACCAGUGGCGAAGGCGACUUACUGGUCUGUGAUUGACGCUGAGGCUCGAAAGCGUGGGUAGCGAACA
RNAcentral lists this ribosomal RNA (207 nucleotides) under uncultured Atopostipes sp. RNAcentral describes it as "partial 16S ribosomal RNA". It matches the Rfam family "Bacterial small subunit ribosomal RNA", at positions 568 to 774 of the family's 1533-position model. The record is from RNAcentral. Lineage: Bacteria; Bacillati; Bacillota; Bacilli; Lactobacillales; Carnobacteriaceae.